AAAGAAGUACUUUAGGACAGAAAAACUCUAUUCCUAUGGAACCUUAUCUCAGAUGGGUACGCGCCAGAGCUCGUGAGCUUAUCAUGCCAUAUCUUGCAAUCGGACCUCUGAUUGUUGAACCAAAAGUUGAAGGAGGUACCCCUCAGAUCAUUCCUUAUCCAGAUAUGCCUACCAAUGUUGAAGAAUUGAAGAAAUCUUGGAUCCAGUUGAGAGAGGAAAGGGAUACUUUUGAAGCUCAGUUUUGUGCUGAAAGGAAGAAAGUAU
This 264-nucleotide long non-coding RNA is filed under the name Lathyrus oleraceus (garden pea). RNAcentral describes it as "Pisum sativum (pea) long non-coding RNA (PSAT_LNC033306)". Lineage: Eukaryota; Viridiplantae; Streptophyta; Magnoliopsida; Fabales; Fabaceae. The record is from RNAcentral.